GCUGAGUCCAAGCAGCGCCACCUUCAACUCCUUUGGCGCACCAUGCUGCUGCAAAGUCAACCACCAGGCAGCAGAGAGAUAGAGAGAGAGAGAGAGAGAGAGAGAGAGAGAGAGAGAGAGAGAGAGAGAGAGAGAGAGAGAGAGGAACCGGCAAACAUAAAUCAGCAAGCCAUUCCUCUCCUUCCUCACUUUAGCAGCACCGUGACUCUCUACACUCCCUUUUUUCCUUUCCUGUUUCGCGCAAGACCAUGGCCUCACGCCGUUCAACCGUUGGCGACGCCCUUGGCUCAGCUAACGCCGGCGCUGUCCUAGCUGUCUUGCAUCAUUCUGUGCGGGCUUCCUCGGUUUGUUUUGGACCGCCAAAGAACCAAGUGCAACCUUGGGACUUCUGACCUUGCCAAGUCGUGACAAAGGCUUGGGGACUUGAGGCAAGUGGAUAUCCUCCGUUCUAUUCUAUAUCGAUCGAUUUUGUUUGACGAGGAUAGUUUCCUAGAAAUUUCCAUGAACGUUAUUUAGAUUCCUGUCUAAUCGGAAAUUUUCACCAAGUGACCCAACUGAAAUGUCGCGUUCGUAAUAAUUGAGUUCGUGGUUGGAUCGUAGGAGUACGAUCUGUUGAUAUCUAGUGUAUGCUAGGACUAGAAAUGCCAAAAACUUGAGCUAAACUAGUGAAGGGAUCUAAGUCAGGAUCGGUUUUAGUCCGACCUUAGUUUUGUUAAUUUUGUAUUGACUUGUGAUGCGAAAUCCAUAGGGCCUGCUUCAGUAAAUUGUCCUUCAUUAGCUAUUCUAUGACAUGCUUUGGAUUUAAAUUUUUCGGGCUUUGCAUGACAAAAAUAUAUUUGGAAAACUAUCGAGUGUGCAAUCUAUUUUUACUGCUACUGAACCGACCUUCCUCUGCUUUCCAUUUUCAACAGAAUUUUUGGGCAAGUACUUUAACUAACAGGAGUUUGAAUGGACCUUCACGAUUCUCCAGCUUAAUUUGCCUCUUGUGCACUUCUACGGUGCAUACUUUCUUUGUUAAUUACGUUAUUUUGGACAAAAAAAUGUAGUCUUUUUGGCACAUAAAAAUGGAGUAAACAUAAAAGUUUAUAUAUAUAUAUAUAUAUAUAUAUAUAUAUAUAUAUAUAUAUAUAUAUAUAUAUAUAAUGUUUAUUGAUCCAAGUGAGCGGUUCCACACUCAAAACGGGAACCGGAACAGGAAUGGUACUUGAGUACCAAUUUAUUGGAAUUGGGAAUUUGACUGAUUUCUAUAGAAACUACCUAGAAUAGGCUAGUUCGGUCCGGUUUGGACGGUUCUUGGUUCUUUCGUUCACACAUACUUUGUCUCACGAAAUGCAGAAAGACUAAUUAAAGGAAAACACACAAAAUCUCACUGCGCAAAGUUUAGAAAAGAGAAGUACAUUACAAUCAAGGGGAGAUUCAUUGAACAAUAAUGUCCUUUCUAGUGACCGGACACUGACUUUUCCUUUGUAUAUUUAUUAUUCUAUUUAGUGUGAUUUGGAAAACCAACUCAAUUUGUGGCUUCUAAUCUCAAUCACCAACAAACAUUCAAACGAAUUCUUCCAAGCAAUGAACAAAAAAACCCUAGUAGUAUAUGUACCAAACAAUGUGAAACUCUAUUACACUUGUAUCACUAUAAUCCAGUCGGACUAAUUUCAAGCUACUGAGUGAGGGGAACACAUUCAAGCUCAAUAUCAAGCUCUCCCCGCUCCACAUUCUUCAAUCUCAAAGUUAUAUCCUGUUUUACUUUACCAUCCAUUAAGCUGAUGACACCAUCUUUCACUAGGGUAUUAUCUCUGCUUGCGACCCAUUUCCCCAGCUGCAUUGACUCGUCAAUGGUGGAGCUUUCAUAUGCUUUGGCGGCAGACAGUAGGGGCUGAAUAUCUAUCUCGGCCUCUCCCAUAAAAUCAUCCUGCUUGAAUGUGUCCUUGUCAUACACGAGCUGCAUUUGCCAAAAUACGUUAUUCAUGACCUUCAAGGCUAAAGCUGGACUUUGCUACAUAUUGACAGACAGUUUACGGACUCUGGCUAAUUUAUAACUAUCUGUCUCUCAUGGUUAAAAGCCUGAUAGAAACAGAACGUGCAAGAAAACUUCUGUCCACAAAAUUAUAUUCAACUUGACGGCCACAUAGAAGCUGAAAAGAGAUCCGUGCAAGGCGGAGAAUGCUGACAUUGUCCUAAUCAUAAAGCAACAGAAACUCCCAGUUCCAUUUCAUGGUCAUCAUGAAAGAGCUUAAAGUGUCAAGGAGGUCCAACCAUAUAGUAUACAAUGAACUAACUUGUCUUACUGUUCUAAUAUUAUUGAAUGACUUUUCUAAGGGGUCAAUCUGCACACGUAUGGUGUCAAUAGAGUAUCAGUGCCAACAACUGUUAAACGACUCCAGAGAACACAUGUUCAAAUUAUUUACUUCCAAUGCCUCUCCAUUUAAUCAAACCGCAAUAGGUCUUAUAGGAAAUAAGCUCCAUACCACUUUUAAAGGAGGGACACUUUCCGGAAUAGACAGCAUCAGCUUCUCAUUCCACACUGGAUUCAGGUUGUUCUUUAUAACACGCGUUUUCACUGACUGCAACAAGCCAUUAACAAGACGAAAUCAAAUAACUCAAUGGACUAACAAUUCUAUAGCUUCAUACACUAAACCACAAGACCAUUAUCAACCAGUUCCAAUUAGGAGGCUCACCUGGUGCCCCAAAGCAAGGAUCACAUAAGGGUCACUGGUCAUCACAUCCCGAAUAACUAGGUUGGUGCCUCUUACCACGUUGACCUUUAUUAGACCAACAAAUUCAACCAUUCCCGCCUAUAGAAAAGUAGAAGUGCAAGCUAUAAGGUUUUUGCUGCUGGAUUCACAAUAUGUAACGUUGCGGUUCAUUGCAACCCUUGGUUCUACCCAAUCAAUCAUUGGGAAAUAAAUUCUUUCCAAGUAAAACCUCCACUAAUUAUUAUCAUUCCUUCCACUUUCAAUUCCAUUAAGUGCCAACAGAACUUGUUUUGGUGGAGUUGCUCCAACAAAUAAUCCAGAUAACAAAUCAAAAGCAGUUGAAUUAGCCAGCAAAUAAAAGGAGGAAAGACAGACAAAUCAUACUGAUGAGCAUUUCUUCUUGUAGGCCUUAUGGUCGUUCUCCCUCCUCCCCCAGCUGUUACGAAAUGCCUGUCCAAUCCGAUGCUUCGUUGGUUGUUUUUCAAACUGUCUCUUCUCUUG
This 3194-nucleotide long non-coding RNA is filed under the name Eucalyptus grandis. RNAcentral describes it as "long non-coding RNA (EGRA_LNC005908)". Lineage: Eukaryota; Viridiplantae; Streptophyta; Magnoliopsida; Myrtales; Myrtaceae. The record is from RNAcentral.